RNAcentral lists this ribosomal RNA (1861 nucleotides) under human gut metagenome. Its description in RNAcentral is "bacterial LSU rRNA". It matches the Rfam family "Bacterial large subunit ribosomal RNA", at positions 1190 to 2925 of the family's 2925-position model. The record is from RNAcentral.
ACCACCGAAGACGCGGCAGCAAUCUUCAUGGUUGCUGGGUAGGAGAGCGUCCUGCGAGGGGCGAAGCGGCCGGGUAACCGUGCCGUGGACUUCGUGGGAGUGAGAAUGCAGACAUGAGUAGCGAGAGACGGGUGAGGAUCCCGUCCGCUGGAUGACCAAGGGUUCCGGGGCCACGUUCGUCGUCCCCGGGUGAGUCGGGUCCUAAGGCGAGGCCGACAGGCGUAGUCGAAUGGAUGAACGGGUGGAUAUUCCCGUACCGACCAUGGACCGGCAAAACCGAGACGGUGAGUACUAACCUCCGCCUCGUGGUGGUUCCUUCCUUCGGGUUGGUAUCGCCGCGUGGUGUUGGGACUGUAGCCGUAGUAGGUCAGCGCAGGGGUGACACGGAAUGGGAGCCGGCCGCGGAGGUGGUUUUCCGUGGUCAAGCACGCAGCCAGUCAUGUAGGCAAAUCCGCAUGGCGCGCAUGGCGAGGUGUGAUGAUGGGAGCCGUUAUGGUUCGAUAUCCGGUUGUCCAGGCCGUCGAGAAAAGCCUCGGCGUGAGGGCCAUGGCCGCCCGUACCCCAAACCGACACUGGUGGUCAGGUAGAGAAUACCAAGGCGAUCGAGCGAAUCCUGGUCAAGGAACUCGGCAAAUCACUCCCGUGCCUUCGGUAUAAGGGAGACCCGCUGGGGUGAACCGGCUAGCCCGGGGAGCUUUGGUGGGUGGCACAGACCAGGGGGUAGCGACUGUUUACCAAAAACACAGGUGCAUGCGAAGGCGAAAGCCGCUGUAUAUGCACUGACGCCUGCCCGGUGCCGGAAGGUUAAGAGGAUCCGUCAGUCCCUUCGGGGACGAAGCGGUGAAUUCAAGCCCCGGUAAACGGCGGUGGUAACUAUAACCAUCCUAAGGUAGCGAAAUUCCUUGUCGGGUAAGUUCCGACCUGCACGAAUGGCGUAACGACUUCCCCACUGUCUCGACCAGGAGCUCGGCGAAAUUGCAGUACGAGUAAAGAUGCUCGUUAAGCGCAGAAGGACGAAAAGACCCCGGGACCUUUACUAUACCUUGGUAUUGGCGUUAGGCGCGGAUUGUGUAGCAUAGGCGGGAGGCUUCGAAGCGUGGGCGCCAGCUCAUGUGGAGCCGCAAGGUGAAAUACCGCUCUGUUCUCGUUUGACGUCUAACCUCGACAAGUCAUCCUUGUCAGGGACAGUGCCUGGCGGGUAGUUCAACUGGGGCGGUUGCCUCCCAAAGAGUAACGGAGGCGCUCAAAGGUCCGCUCAGCCCGGUUGGCAAUCGGGUGUCGAGUGUAAUCGCACAAGCGGGCUUGACUGCGAGGACGACGGUCCGAGCAGGGACGAAAGUCGGAGAUAGUGAUCCGGUGCCGGCGCACGGGCGCGGCAUCGCUCAACGGAUAAAAGGUACCCCGGGGAUAACAGGCUGAUCAUUCCCAAGAGUCCANAUCGACGGGAUGGUUUGGCACCUCGAUGUCGGCUCGUCGCAUCCUGGGGCUGGAGCAGGUCCCAAGGGUUCGGCUGUUCGCCGAUUAAAGCGGCACGCGAGCUGGGUUCAGAACGUCGUGAGACAGUUUGGUCUCUAUCCUCUGCGCUCGUUGGAAUCCUGAGGAGGCCUGCCCAUAGUACGAGAGGACCUGGGUGGACGAACCUCUGGUAUGCCGGUUGUCGCGCCAGCGGCACGGCCGGUUGGCUACGUUCGGGAGGGAUAACCGCUGAAAGCAUCUAAGCGGGAAGCCUGCUCCAAGAUUAGGAUUCCGUACGGUCUCGAACCGUUGUAGCCCGCAUGUUGAACACGUGUUUGAUAGGCCGGAGGUGGAAGCCCCGUGAGGGGUGGAGCCGACCGGUACUAACGGGCGACGGCGACACAAC